GACAGAGGGUGCAAGCGUUGUUCGGAAUUACUGGGCAUAAAGCGCACGUAGGCGGUUCGCUAAGUCUGUCGUGAAAUCCCCCGGCUCAACCGGGGAAUAGCGUCGGAUACUGGCGAGCUCGAGGUCGAUAGGGGUAAGUGGAACUCCAGGUGGAGCGGUGAAAUGCGUAGAUAUCUGGAGGAACACCGGUGGCGAAGGCGGCAUCCUGGACCGGCAUUGACGCUGAUGAGCGAAAGCCAGGGGAGCAAACGGG
Molecule: ribosomal RNA, 253 nt
Filed under: uncultured bacterium
Lineage: Bacteria
Description: partial 16S ribosomal RNA
Rfam family: Bacterial small subunit ribosomal RNA
Source: RNAcentral